RNAcentral lists this ribosomal RNA (1460 nucleotides) under [Microcystis] elabens NIES-42. RNAcentral describes it as "16S ribosomal RNA". It matches the Rfam family "Bacterial small subunit ribosomal RNA". Lineage: Bacteria; Bacillati; Cyanobacteriota; Cyanophyceae; Chroococcales; Microcystaceae. The record is from RNAcentral.
ACCAGAUGUAGAGUUUGAUCCUGGCUCAGGAGGAACGCUGGUGGCGUGCUUAACACAUGCAAGUCGAACGGGAAUCUUCGAGUGCUAAUGGCGGACGGGUGAGUAACGCGUGAGAAUCUCCCUACAGGACGGGGACACCAGUCGAAAACGACCGUAAAGCCCCGAUGUGCCGAGAGGUGAAACAUAUCUGGCCUGGAGAAGCGCCCGAGUCUGAUUAGCUAGUUGGUGGGGUAAAGGCCCACCAAGGCGACGAUCAGUAGCUGGUCUGAGAGGAUGACCAGCCACACUGGCACUGAGACACGGCCCAGACUCCUACGGGAGGCAGCAGUGGGGAAUAUUGCGGGGCGCAAGCCUGAUCCAGCCAUGCCGCGUGAGGGGAGAAGGCUUUUGGACUGUAAACCCCUUUUCUCAGGGAAGAAUCCAAUGACGGUACCUGAGGAAAAGGCCGCGGCUAACUCCGUGCCAGCAGCCGCGGUAAUACGGGGGGGGCAAGCGUUAUCCGGAAUUAUUGGGCGUAAAGCGUCCGCAGGCGGUUAAUCAAGUCUGUUGUCAAAUCGUGGGGCUCAACCUCAUAAAGGCAGUGGAAACUGGAUGACUAGAGUGUGGUAGGGGUAGAUGGAAUUCCCGGUGUAGCAGUGAAAUGCGUAGAUAUUGGGAAGAACACCAGUGGCGAAGGCAAUCCACUGGGAUAUUACUGACGCUCAUGCACGAAAGCGUGGGGAGCAAACAGGAUUAGAUACCCCGGUAGUCCACGCCCUAAACGAUGGCCACUAGGUGUGGGGGGAAUCUCCCCGCGCCGUGCCGAAGGCAACGCGUUAAGUGCCCCGCCUGGGGAGUACGCACAUUAAAACGAAACUCAAAGGAAUUGACGGGGGCCCCCACAAGCGGUGGAGUAUGUGGUUUAUUUCGAUGCAACGCGAAGAACCUUACCAAGGUUUGACAUCCCGCGAACCCCUUGGAAACAAGGGGGUGCCUUCGGGAGCCAGACACAGAGGUGGCAUGGGUGUCGUCAGCUCGUGUCGUGAGAUGUUGGGUUAAGUCCCGCAACGAGCGCAACCCACGUUCUUAGUUGCCAGCAUUCAGUUGGGCACUCUAAGGAGACUGCCGGUGACAAACCGGAGGAAGGUGGGGAUGACGUCAAGUCAUCAUGGCCCUUACGUCUUGGGCUACACACGUACUACAAUGGUCGGGACAGAGGGCUGCCAACCCGCGAGACGGAGCUAAUCCCACAAACUGGGGCUUAGUUCGGAUUGCAGUCUGCAACUCGCUUGCAUGAAGGUGGAAUCGCUAGUAAUCGCGGAUCAGCAUGCCGCGGUGAAUACGUUCCCGGGCCUUGUACACACCGCCCGUCACACCAUGGAAGUUGGCUUUGCCCGAAGUCGUUACCCUAACCGGAAGGGGGGGGGGGCCCUAAGGAGAGGGCUAGUGACUGGGGUGAAGUCGUAACAAGGUAACCCUAC